AGCACAUCCAACCACAGAGGACGGAUUAGUUGGCUAUUUUUUUUAAGGUGCCUGGAUCCAGUGAUGUAAGCAUCAAAACUUGUCAAGUCUUGGUGACAGAAACGCCUCCCCACUCGCUUUUUGGAGAGUGAUUCCGGAUUUGGCGUCUGAGCAGCUCUUGCUGUUGCCAGGCCUCUAGCAGGGCACACAGUGUGCAGUGGGGUGGCAGGUGGACAGAGGGUAGAGAGAAGCAAGAAAACUCUAGAGCAUUUUCCCAGAGUGGAAGUUGGGCCUGAAUUCUACAGAAUGAUACCCAGAGUGAGAUGAGAAAGAAAAACAAAGGAAGAUGGAAGACAAGGAGUUCUUCCCAAAGUGCCACUUGAUAAGAACUUAGAACACAGAUCCAACUUCUGGCUGAAAUAACAAGUUCUUUUUAUUGAGUUAUAAUUAACGUAUACCAUUAGUUUUAGGAGC
Long non-coding RNA from Suricata suricatta (meerkat), 453 nucleotides. RefSeq lists it as uncharacterized. The transcript is spliced from 3 exons. The record is from RefSeq and is a predicted model, not a curated record. Lineage: Eukaryota; Metazoa; Chordata; Mammalia; Carnivora; Herpestidae.